GAUGAACGCUGGCGGCGUGCCUAAUACAUGCAAGUCGAGCGAACGGACGAGAAGCUUGCUUCUCUGAUGUUAGCGGCGGACGGGUGAGUAACACGUGGAUAACCUACCUAUAAGACUGGGAUAACUUCGGGAAACCGGAGCUAAUACCGGCUAAUAUUUUGAACCGCAUGGUUCAAAAGUGAAAGACGGUCUUGCUGUCACUUAUAGAUGGAUCCGCGCUGCAUUAGCUAGUUGGUAAGGUAACGGCUUACCAAGGCAACGAUGCAUAGCCGACCUGAGAGGAUGAUCGGCCACACUGGAACUGAGACACGGUCCAGACUCCUACGGGAGGCAGCAGUAGGGAAUAUUCCGCAAUGGGCGAAAGCCUGACGGAGCAACGCCGCGUGAGUGAUGAAGGUCUUCGGAUCGUAAAACUCUGUUAUUAGGGAAGAAAAUAUGUGUAAGUAACUGUGCACAUCUUGACGGUACCUAAUCAGAAAGCCACGGCUAACUACGUG
This 497-nucleotide ribosomal RNA is filed under the name uncultured bacterium. Its description in RNAcentral is "partial 16S ribosomal RNA". It matches the Rfam family "Bacterial small subunit ribosomal RNA", at positions 28 to 507 of the family's 1533-position model. The record is from RNAcentral.